GGUACAACUUUUGUCGAAUAUGCGGCGGUUCCUCUGAAGCACUUCGUGAUGCAGGGUGCCUUACUUUGGUUCUGUUAUGUGGAGAUUGGAAAGAUUUGCGGUUUAUGUCAAGAUGGAGGAUUCAGAUCAAGUGCAGUCGGUGCGGCAUUGGAAGUACGACAUUGGACUAGGAGAUUAGGAAUCAGAACCGGUUUUCUUUAUUUAGGAAGCGUCUUGUAAUGUUCGAAGAUUUUUUGUAAUUAUCAAUUAUAUGGACUUUUGGAUUUUUUGAAUGAUGAAUUGUGUGAGUGGUGUAAUGUAAUGUGCUCGACCUUGUAAUGAAUUUGUGAUGGCUUUGGUUGAAUGAAUUUGUGAUGGCUUCGGUUGAAUGACCUUGAA
Molecule: long non-coding RNA, 378 nt
Organism: Vicia villosa (hairy vetch)
Lineage: Eukaryota; Viridiplantae; Streptophyta; Magnoliopsida; Fabales; Fabaceae
Exons: 2
Source: RefSeq, a predicted model, not a curated record